UUCACAGGUGUGAUCAUCCUUGCCUGCUUCUCCUUUGGAGGGCGGAGUUCGUGAUGACUAGAGUUCACGUGCUAUGUGAUUAACUCUGCCUCAUCAGGAUUUGUAACAUCCUAAUUGCUCUACCUGAU
Small nucleolar RNA from Saimiri boliviensis boliviensis (Bolivian squirrel monkey), 128 nucleotides. Its record names the gene U8. It matches the Rfam family "U8 small nucleolar RNA". Rfam says of the family: U8 is a member of the C/D class of snoRNA which contain the C (UGAUGA) and D (CUGA) box motifs. U8 is the RNA component of a small complex (the U8 snoRNP) which is required for accumulation of mature large subunit ribosomal RNAs, 5.8S and 28S rRNAs. NCBI's taxonomy places the organism in Eukaryota, Metazoa, Chordata, Mammalia, Primates, Cebidae. The record is from Ensembl.